Ailuropoda melanoleuca (giant panda) is the source of this 477-nucleotide long non-coding RNA. RefSeq lists it as uncharacterized. Lineage: Eukaryota; Metazoa; Chordata; Mammalia; Carnivora; Ursidae. The record is from RefSeq and is a predicted model, not a curated record. The transcript is spliced from 3 exons.
CGAGCGUGAGGCUGCAGGGACAGGAGGGCUGUGGGUCUAAGAUGGUCUGGAAUCAGAAGAUUAAGUCCCACAGAGCCCUUUCCGGGCCUCUCUGUUUACGCCGCCGUGCUUCCGCCUGGGCCCAUAAUCACCUCAUCAUUGCUGCUAUUGUCGCCAUGAUUAUUAAGUACUUUAAGACUUGCCCAAGGAGGGUGCAAUCCUUUAAUUAUGUCCCUCCCUGCAUCAUUGUCGGAGGCCAGUUGGAAUCGUUCUCCGUGUUUUGCACAAAAGAAAAUGAAGGCCUGGAUGAGAAAAUGGCAUCAGACAGGGAACAGGACUCGCUCUUGGUAGCAUGGCAGAUUGUUUUCCCUAUCUACUGAUGCAUGACAAAGCACCUCACUACUCAGUGGCUUAAAAACAACAAUUUAGGGGCGCCUGGGUGGCGCAGUCGUUAAGCGUCUGCCUUCGGCUCAGGGCGUGAUCCCAGCGUUCUGGGAG